GGAGAGCUGGCCGAGUCCGGUUGAAGGCGGCGGCUUGCUAAGCCGUAGCGGGGGAGACCUCGCCGGGGGUUCGAAUCCCUCGCUCUCCGCCA
RNAcentral lists this transfer RNA (92 nucleotides) under Paractinoplanes abujensis. Its description in RNAcentral is "Actinoplanes abujensis tRNA-Ser". It matches the Rfam family "tRNA". Rfam says of the family: Transfer RNA (tRNA) molecules are approximately 80 nucleotides in length. Their secondary structure includes four short double-helical elements and three loops (D, anti-codon, and T loops). The record is from RNAcentral. Lineage: Bacteria; Bacillati; Actinomycetota; Actinomycetes; Micromonosporales; Micromonosporaceae.